RNA transcript from Aedes aegypti (yellow fever mosquito), 914 nucleotides. It is a transcript of the gene named S-phase kinase-associated protein 1, with no coding region annotated. Lineage: Eukaryota; Metazoa; Arthropoda; Insecta; Diptera; Culicidae. The record is from RefSeq and is a predicted model, not a curated record. The transcript has a single exon.
AUAACGUUCCAUGAUACAUUUGACGCCCAUUUCAGUACCAUUUCGGAUUAGAGACACCAGUGCAGUGAAAAUCGUUGUUCUAUCGAGACGCAUCAAUUCUGGCUUCCAUCGAAAAUGCCGUUCCUCAAGUUGCAGUCAAAUGAUGGUGAAAUUUUUAAAGUCGACAUCCAAGCUGCCAAGUGUUCUAACCUUCUCAAAGUGAUGCUUGAGGGUCCUAAUAUAGAAAAGGACUACGACGAAGUGGUGCCCGUGCCGAACGUGAACGCUACCACUUUGCGUAAAGUGCUCGAAUGGGCCAACUACCAUAAAUACGAUCCACCAAUGGAGGACGACAACCGCCCCGUACACAUUUGCGAUUGGGAUCGAGAGUUUCUUAGAGUUGACAAGGAAAUCCUCAUGGAGCUGAUUCUAGCCGCCAACUAUUUGGUCAUCAAAGGACUAUUGGAUGUAACGUGCGUAGCGGUUGUCGACAUGAUCAAGGAAACAAAACCAGGAAGAACCAGGCUGAUGAGAAAUGUGUUCAACAUUGACGAUGGAUUCGCUGCAAAAGAAGAGGCCAGAACCAGUCAUCGUUGCAGGGAAUUUGAGAAAGAGGAGUAAUGCUUUUCAAUAGUUGAGAGGUUUUUGCUACAGAGAUUAAAACAAUGGUUGAUGACAUAAUCACCACACCAGGAAGAACUAGGCAUUAUCUGCCUACCUGUCAACGUUGAAAGCAUUUUAGAUAUUGACAUUGGUUUCACUGCAAAAGAAACGUUUAUUUAAAAUAAUCACUAAAACACAAUGGGAGAAAUAAAGUAAUGUAUUUCAAAACUUGAAGGGAUUUGGCUACAGACACUGCGAAAAAGAGUGACAUAAGAGUAAUAUUCUUUACGGUUUUGCGAAAUGAACAGAAUAAAACAAUUGUAAAUCAACAA